This 450-nucleotide ribosomal RNA is filed under the name uncultured bacterium. RNAcentral describes it as "partial 16S ribosomal RNA". It matches the Rfam family "Bacterial small subunit ribosomal RNA", at positions 354 to 796 of the family's 1533-position model. The record is from RNAcentral.
GUGGGGAAUCUUCCGCAAUGGGCGAAAGCCUGACGGAGCAACGCCGCGUGAGUGAAGACGGCCUUCGGGUUGUAAAGCUCUGUUAUAUGGGACGAACGGGUGUAUGGUCAAUACCCAUACGCCGUGACGGUACCGUAAGAGAAAGCCACGGCUAACUACGUGCCAGCAGCCGCGGUAAUACGUAGGUGGCAAGCGUUGUCCGGAAUCAUUGGGCGUAAAGGGCGCGCAGGCGGUUCGGUAAGUCGGUCUUAAAAGUGCGGGGCUUAACCCCGUGAUGGGAUUGAAACUGCCGGACUUGAGUGUCGGAGAGGAAAGCAGAAUUCCUAGUGUAGCGGUGAAAUGCGUAGAUAUUAGGAGGAAUACCAGUGGCGAAAGCGGCUUUCUGGACGACAACUGACGCUGAGGCGCGAAAGCCAGGGGAGCAAACGGGAUUAGAUACCCCGGUAGUCC